AGGUGAGAGGGCUGCGCCGCUGGGAUGCUGGGGCUCCUGAAGACCCGCGUCCCGAGGAAAGGGAAGUUGGAGACCGAGUCGGUCCCCACACUGUGACGCUCCCGGCGAGGUAGCAGCGCAGAGACGAGUCCUCUCCCUGUGAGGCAUCGACCUCAUCUCUAUUCUCUGCUGUGGACCCAGGGCCGCCUGACUCAGGGGCUCAUUGGCCUAUUGUGUCAUAGUCCAGACAAGGACUUCCACUAGAAGGCACCCCUCAGAAACACUGAAUCUACAGAAUUUGGUUUGCUCUAACAGCAGAACUGUGAAGCCUUCACUGUAUUACAUUACAACUGAUGCUCAACCUUCUGGCAGCAGAGUCUACACCUUGGUUUCAGUAUAUCACAGACCGCCAGCCCUGCACUUGGCAAAGAAGACAGGCCAAUACUGCCGAAUGAAUACAUUUGGGAAGCAAGAUCUGACAGGUUUGAGAAUGUAUUAGAAAUCGGGACUCUCCCAGAGCUGUCCUGACAGGAGGUCGUCGUAAAUCGUCUGCCACCUCACCUGCCAGGCCCUUUACACCUGCUGGCCUUCUCAUAGCACUCCUCAGCCAGGACCGAGCUGAUCCCAGUUUUAGGUGCUGGAAUGUCCAAGAUCAAGGUGUCUGCCAAUGUAGUGUCUGGUGAGUGACCAUCCUCUGGUUUAUAGGUGGCCCUCUUUUUGCUGUGUUGUCACAUGUGAGAAGGAGCCAGGGGGCUCUCUCAGGCCUUUUUUACAAGGGCACUCAUCCCAUUCAUCGGGGCUCUGCCUUCUGACCUCAUCACCUCCCAAAGGCCCUGCCUCCUAAUAUCAUCAGCUUAGAGGUUAAGUUUUCAGCAUAUGUACUUGGGGGACAUAAUAUUCAGUCCAUAGCAAAGGCCUAGUAGCUUUCCCCUCAGGGGGGGUCUCUUUCUUGCUCACCCAGAGCCCAGACAGUAAAGCUUCCUCAGUGAGUAGAAUGUUUUCUAGUCACCCUUCUGUUAGGGGCACAGUCCACCAGCAGACCUGGCUUUCUGUGUGUGUCCAUCCCUGAUCCCUGCCUCCUCUCCCACCAAAAGGCAGUGAAACUCAGUCCCUCACCUGGUUCUGUGGACCAGUAGCAGGAACCUCACCUGGCAGCUGAAACAUUAGAUCACAAACUUGCACCCAGCUUUCCUUUCUCUCUUCACUCCCACAGCCUUUCCCUUGCUCUCUUCUGAGCUUGGCCAGGCCAUCACACGACUGAGUGUUUGUAGCACAAGAGUGUUUGGACUGUGUGGUCUGCAUCUUUCCUGGACCAGGAGCUGUCACAUCCUUGGCAGCUGCAGUCUCCCUCGUUAACAAUGAGAACAUGCGUAGGCCUUUAGCUAACAAUACUCUUUUGUGGAUUUUUUUAUGUAGUUUUUUUUUUUUAAAGCUUUCUGUGUGUAGAAAAUAAUUCUGGUUCUCCGUUGCUUUCUUUUAAAGUAUCCUUUUAAAAAUAAAAUUAAGAAUUCUGGGAAGAUGGCAAUUGUGGAAGCAUAGUCUUUGUCUUCCAGAAUCCCCACAUAAACACAGAGCGGUAUUAAAAACAAAACCCAUGGGCAAUAUUUACAACAAGACUAGAUGACAAGGUAUCCCCCUGUUACCACAAAAUACAAGUGAACAACAGCCAUGAGACCUGCCCAAUAUCACCAUGAGUGUUGGGAAAGGAGAAGGAAGCAAUAGCGUAACUGGACGCCUGAGGGCCCUGCGCAUGCUCAGUACAGGAGCAGGUGCGCCCGCAUCCGCCCCCUUCCCCCGAGAGCCCCACGCAUGCGCCGUGCAGGAGCCAAAUGAGGACCCGCCGCAGAGCCUUGAGCUUGUGCCGAGCAGGAGCCAGGCCGGGAGCCGCAGCUGAGACCGGGAGGACUAGGUUCACUCCACCAGUGAGUGAGGCAGAGGUCUAAGGUAAGGCAUGAAAGUCCUUGACUUCUCCCACUGAGCCCCCAGGUCUCCACUGGGACUGCACCCCACAAUUGACAUCCAUUAGAAGGUGUGUGAUCAAAAUAAGUACGAUGGAAACAGUAAAGAGGAAGGACAGAGAAGCUCAACUCAAUGCUUGAGCCAGGGUGAGGUGAGAAAGGCACUGGCAUUGGGCACAAAGUUUCAGGGACACCAAACAACUCAGUAAUCAAGAUAACUGAAAUUUUAAUGCAAUAAUUUUUCGAAAACCAAAUUCAAUGCCAAAAAGUCCUUGAUGAACAAAAUACCAAACUUUGAAAUAAAGACAGAAUCAUUAAAAGUCUCGUAUUGAGCCAUAUUGGAGCCGAGGGCAAAAGGAAACGCCAGUGAUACUGACCCUGUCUUUAUUACAGUUUCAGGAGAGUGUUCCAGGAGCCCUCCUUGAGGAACCUACUGAAGAACCAGCUUCAGAAACCACAAUAACUAAAGAGACAUUGCAAUAAGGAUUAGUGUGAGCAGUAAAUAUAUAGUUACUUCUAGAAUUAAGAUUAAAUGCGGGUUAAAACGAGGUUAUACUAUGUAACUGAUACAGAUUUGGGCCCUUGGACUCUUCAGUCAACAUAAAUUGAUAAGAGCCAGACAAGGAAUUCAGGCAAGCCUUUAUUGGGACUCACGCUGAAGCACAAGGGAUAAAACAAGUAACAGGCGCCCUUGCUAGCUCUCCAGUGGGGGGCUGAUUCCUUAAAUGGGAUGAGGGUGGGGGAGGAUUGGUAACUCGGACUGAGGUGUGGAUUAGGUAUCCUGUCCACCCUCUUUCUGAUGCUGUGUGCAGGGAUCAUGUGCAGUACCCUGCCUUUGCUCCUGGCACCUCAGAAGUGGCGGUUGGUUUGUGGCCUUUUAGUAUCUUAUUGUUCCUAAUUGCCUCUACCUGGCUGGCAUGAAGCUGGUUUUAGUCCCUUAUAGUUGCCUUCUAUUCUGUUGCUGGAGGAGACGUUUGUCCAGGUGCAGGUACAAGCGCUCAGGUAGAGGGUCCCACGUCCCAACCCAUCUCAUAAUGGCUUUAUGUUCUAAGAAUAUAGAUAUGGUACAAACAAAGAAAUGGGGAAGGGAAGGAGAGAAUUUCAUGCAAAAAAAAUUUAACUUUUCAGAAGUCACAACUAGUUCUGAUAUUUUAUUGUUCUAAGGAUAUCAUAGUUUAUUUUUUUUCGGGUAUAGGUGACAUAUAACAUUAUGGUACUUUCAGCUGUACAACAUAAGAAUUCGUUAUUUGUAUAUAUUGUGAAAUAAUCUCCACAAUAAGUCUAGAUGAAAUCUGUCACCAUAUAUAAGUACAUUUUUUUUCUUUCAUGAGAAUUUUUAAGGUCGACUCUCUUAGCAACUUUCACGUAUUCGAUAUAAUAUUAUUAUCUAUGGUCAGCAUGAUGUUUCUUACAUCUCAUGACUUAUUUAUAGCUGGAAGUUUGUACCUUUUCACCCUCAGUCAUUUCACCCCACCCACCUCCUGCCUCUGGCAUCCACCAGUCUGUUCUAUCUAUGAGCUAGGAUUUUUCUUUUUUUUCUUAAAGAUUCCACGUGUAAGGGAGAUCAUGCAGUAUUUGUCUUUCUCUGUCUGAGCUAUUUCACUUAGCAUAAUGCCCUCAAGGUCCUUUCAUGUUAUCACAUGGCAAGAUUUCAUUUUUUUAUUUGGCUGAAUAAUAUUCCAUUGUAUAUCUGUACCACAGUUUCUUUAUCCAGUCAUCUGUCAUUGGACAAUGGGUUGUUUCCCUAUAUUGGCUAUUUUAAAUAGUGCUGCCGUGAGCAUAGGGGUGCAUAUAUCUUUUCAAAUUAGUGUUUUCCUUUUCUUUGGAUAAAUACCAGAAGUGGAAUUGCUGGGCCAUAUGGUAGUUCCACUGUUAAUUUUUUGAGAAAAUGCUAUACCAUAUUCCAUAGUGGCUGCACUAAUUUCCAUUCCCACCAACACCUCACAAGGGUUUCCUUUUCUCAACAUCCUCUCCAACAUUUGUUAUUUCUUGUAUUUUUUGAUAGUAGACUUUCUAAUUGGUGACAGGUGACAUCUCGUGGUUUUGAUUAGCAUUUCCCUGAUGAUUAAUGAUGUUGAGCAUCUUUUCACGUAAAUACCUAUUGGCCACCUGUAUAUCUUCUUUGGAAAAAUGUUUCUUCAGCUCUUCUGCCCAUUUUAAAAAAUCAGAGUGCCUCUUUGUUUGCUCUUGAGUGGUAUGAGUUCUUUAUAUAUUUUAGAUAUUAAUCACUUAUCAGAUGCAUGAUUUGCAAAUAUUUUCUCCCAUUCUAAUGGGCCUUUUCAUUUUGUUGAUGGUUUUCUUUGCUGUGCAGAAGCUUUUUAGUUUUAGUUUUUUAAUAUUUAUUUAGGCUGCACCCAGUCUUAGUUGCAGCACGUGGGAUCUUCGUUGCAGCACGCGGGAUCUUUAGUGGGGGCAUGCAGGCUUCUUAGUUGUGGCAUGCAUGUGGGAUCUAGUUCCUAUACCAGGGAUCGAACCCAGGCCCCUUGCAUUGGGAGUGCAGAGUCUUACCCACUGGACCACGAGGGAAGUCCUGAAGCUUUUUAGUUAGAUGUAGUCCCACUUGUUUAUUUUUGCUUUUUUCCCCCUUUGUUUUGGAGUCAGAUCCAAAAAAUCAUCACCAAAACUGAAGUCAAGGAGCUUACUGCCUGUUUUUUUGUAGGACGUUUGUGAUUGCAGGUUUUCCACUCAAGGCUUUCAUCCAUUAACUUUUGUGUUUGUUUUAAGAUAGUGGUCCAGUUUCAUUCCUUUGCAUGGGGCUGUCCAGUUUUCCCAUCACCAUUUACUGAAGAGAUUGUCCUUUUCCCAUUGUAUAUUCUUAGCUUUUUGUGAUAAAUUAACUGACCAUAUAAACAUGGGUUGAUUUCUAGGCUCGCCCCUCUGUUCCAUUCAUCUAUAUAUUUGUUUCUAUGCCAACACCAUACAGUUUUGUUUACUAUAGCUUUGUAAUGUAGUUUGAAAUUAGGGAGUGUAAAUCCUUCAGCUUUGUUAUUCUUUCUCAAGAUCGCUUUGGCUAUUGGGUGACCUUUGUGGUUCCAUAGAAUUUUAGGAUUGUUUCUUCUAUUUCUGUGAAAAAUUCCAUUGGAAUUUUGAUAAGGAUCGCAUUAAAUCUUUAGAUUGCUUUGGGUAGCAUGGUCAUUUUAACAAUAUUGAUUCUUCCAAUCCGUGAGGUGGAAUAUCUUCCCAUUUAGUGCUGUCUUCUUCAACUUCUUUCAUCUGUGUAUUGUAUGCUAUUAUGGAUACUGUUAAUCUGAACUUGUGUGUGCAUCAGUUGAGAUGAAACAAAUGACUAAUUGGAUAUUCUAAUUCAGUUAUUCCACUGUGUCCUUGAGAACCAGAUUUCCCAGUGUGGAGGAAAGGAGAUACAGAUGUCACAGAAGAGGUUAAGUAAAAACCUUAUAGUUCUCAAUUUGAAUUGGGUAUAUCUGUAUAACCUACCAGAGUAUUGUAUCAUAUGUGUAAAAUCUAUCUCCUCCCACUGAAAAGACUAGAAACAGUGAUCAAACCAGAAGCAAAGAGGAUUCCUAACUUCACCAUGUUCAGUAUUUAAUAUUCAAUAUUAUUUCCCACUAAAGGAAACAAAGGCUUCUUGGAGAAAUGACUGAUUCUAGUCCUGGGAAGGAAAUAUACAAGAUGAGCUUGAAACAUCUUGCCAAACCAGAUAUCAAGGAAGCAUUCAGACUAUUAGGGGCAUGUCAAAAGGACUUAAGAGUUAACCUGAAGAGGGUCCACCAUGUAAAAGAUGGGACAAUGUGAACAUCAACAAAUAUAAUAACGGCCAUGUAUUGAAAUCUGUCACAUAUGUUUUAAUUCUUCACUUCAUCCCAGUGUGUUUAAAUUAAUUCAUCAUCUUUGGAGUAUGACAGGCUAGAAAUUUAUUAUCUUGAUAACGGAUAAAUAAAUGAAAGAAGCAUCU
Molecule: long non-coding RNA, 5850 nt
Filed under: Phocoena sinus (vaquita)
Lineage: Eukaryota; Metazoa; Chordata; Mammalia; Artiodactyla; Phocoenidae
Description: lncRNA (ENSPSNG00000019861.1)
Source: RNAcentral